This 2827-nucleotide long non-coding RNA is filed under the name Strongylocentrotus purpuratus (purple sea urchin). Its description in RNAcentral is "uncharacterized LOC115925494". The record is from RNAcentral. Lineage: Eukaryota; Metazoa; Echinodermata; Echinoidea; Camarodonta; Strongylocentrotidae.
AUCCACAUAAUAUCCUAGGUAGUACUAUGGAUCCUUGCGCACGACCUCCAUAGGUACGACCUAUACCAGUGCCGUCUCUCCGUCUUUAGUGACGCAGGAUCCAAGGUCUAACCAGGGAGACUGGUCUCCGUAUAGCAGCAUGUACAUUACGCUGCUACUGCUUACCACCGCGUUGUCAAGCGGUGGAUAGGAGCAUCGAAAACACAGCCAGAGCUCUAGCGCUGCAUGUCGGCGCGCAGUGCACCGCCGAUAGCCUGGGCGACUCGCUGCUAGCGCUGGCUAUGAAUUAGCUGGGCGAUAGGGCAUUCAGAGACUCGUUUUCAUGUCGACUGGGGAGGUAAAAACCCUCAUUAAGACCGUGUUUGUCUGGUUUUUAUUGAGGUACAUCGCUACUAUCGCUGUGAGCUACUAGCAACGGUAUAACCUCCAACACUGUGUCAGGUACAUCAACAAAAGUGGACCCGAAGUAAUGCCGGUUUACCUUCGAGGCAAAGUUGAGCUGGAUAACGCAACAAUGUCAACAUACCUAGCAUCAAGCAUUCCAGAUGGCCUUCGUUGUCUCCUUACCUGCUCAAUCUCGCUCAUGACACAACCAUCAAAUUUGUCAGCGCUGUCGUGUUUGAGGAAUCUUCCUUCAGGUGAACCAAAAAUGGGAUGUCCACUUAAGUUCAACUGUGAAGAGAGAUGAAGCAUUUUUCAUGCUAUGGAAUCUUAAAUUCCCUUCCCUUUUUGCAUCACUGAACCAUAGAAAAGCAGCACAUGUAGGCCUGUGAUCCUCUGGAAGGACUAAAUAGUACAUCAAACUUGUUCAGAAAAAGGACAUGUAAAACUACUUAUGGCCUGAGUUACACCAGCUAUGUUGAAACUUUUAGGUUAUGUCACCUUCAAUCCUUCAACAAACAGUCAAAGUGAUAUCUGCCACUCAUUCGAAAAAUCAUUGCCCAACUCGAAGCUUCAAAAGUCCUGGAUAUUAUUUCAAAGUGGUAUCAAAUUUCUUGAUACAGACCUCUCAUUGAACUUUCUCAGACUAUGUAAAUCUACAUACGCAUACUACAAUUAUGUAUAGAGUAUAUCAUGUGACAAGGUAACCCCCCUCCCCCCCUGUAUCACUCUAACUUACUUUAUUUCAUUUUCUCUGUCUUUACUUUAUUUGUCUUUCUCUCCCGCCUCCCCCUCUCAUGCCUAAACUGAUGCUUGUGCUAUCUGGUUAAGAUUUACAACCACAUUUUUAAAAAUCUAUUUAAAUUGGUUCUUCUUUUUAGACUUGUGAAUCAGCCAGAUAAUAUACUUUUCAACUGUAUACUUUCUCCAUUUAAUCUCUCUCUAUUCUAUUCAGAUCUCUGUUCCCAUUUUCACCUUUGAUUUAAGAUUAAGCCUUAUUAAUGAUUUAUGCAUACAGUUUAAGCCAUUUCCCCAUGUUAUAGCUAUUUAUAAUUACAUUGUGUGUUAUUGUUCUUUCCCUAUUUCUCUCAUGUUUCUUUCACCCUUAGUGUCCCCAUCUCUCUCCUCCACCCCUCCCCCGUCUCUUGCACACAUACAUCCUCUUGUCAUUCUUGUAUCCUCUUUCAUCUGUUUUAUUUCAAUUCAAUAUAAACUCUAUUCUAAGGCCUUACAUUCUUUGAUGACAAAACCUACCCAUAAUUUGAUGGGCAAUUAUGUUGAUGAUAGUUUGCAUUUUUGCUUAUCAGUUUUACAAGCUUUAUUGUAAAGCUUUGUUGUUUGGUUAUUUGCACUGUCUUCUAUUGAAGGUGUUUAAAUUAUUGUUCAUAUUAAACUGUAUUUGUAAUAAUUUAUAUUCUGGGAUUUCUGGCUUACAUGUACUGUAAAUGCACAGACAAACGUGCACAUAGAGCAUUACAGUUACUAAUUAAUUUAUGCAAUCCUGUAACUCUAGUAAUUACUCCAUACAUGUAUCAACAACUGUAUACUUCAAAAUCAAGAUCUUAUCCCAUGAUCUUACUUUUAAGAAAAUGAAUCAGUAGUGCCAGUAUAUUAGAUUGGUCCAGUCAUUGAGAGGGCACUGGUGUCUUAUCCCCUUCUCUUUCUUUAUAGAUUUUUCCCCAUUUGAUGGGAGGAGAACACAGAUCUCCUCCAUGAAGAAAGUGCAUGCCAUUUAAAUUGUGUAAUUGAUAUAGAAAAGUGUAAUUAUAUUCAGCUUGUGCAAUGACGUACAUGCAAUUGUGCUCCUUGUCUUGGACUUGUAAAAGUGGAUUUGGAUGUAGGGCUAAACAAUAUUUAUAAUUUUCGGCUUUACGUAUGAUCUCGAGUUUUCAUCUGAUAACUGGUGAAUUCGGGGAGAUCGCUUAGGUGUGUAUCUCUAGAAUCUUAUUUUAUUUCUUAAUAUUUCAUAAUGUAUAUUGCAUCAUGUAAUAACUUGUCAUUAACCUGAUGUUGAUUUUGAUAUAUUGACUAUUUUGUAACACACUGGACAUCGAUUUGGGGGAUAAUAGACUUUACCUUUUAUGUUUUUAAGUAGUUGUGUUUGCAUGUUAUAACCCUCUGAUUUCAUCGAAUUUCAUUGAAAGAGAGGUAUCCUUGAAGUAGUUUAUAAGUUACAGUUCUUUAAGAAUACUUGCUGCAUAAUUUGAUAAUCCAUUAGUGUAUGCAUCAUUGAAUCACCCAAGAUUUCAAUAUGGUGGAGAGAUGAAAAGUCUCUUGUAGUUUUGUUUUACAUCAAGUAGCAUUUUUAAACAGAGUACUGGUAAGAUAGCUCCUAAUGCUUGGCUAUAGUUCGCCCAGUAAAAUUGAUGUCUGCAUUUAGGUGCUGUGUUUUGAUAUAAUUUAAGUAUGUGCCGGAGAAGUAAAUCAUGUAAAAAGCUAUAAGAAA